This 263-nucleotide unclassified non-coding RNA is filed under the name uncultured fungus. Its description in RNAcentral is "partial contains 5.8S ribosomal RNA, internal transcribed spacer 2, and large subunit ribosomal RNA". Lineage: Eukaryota; Fungi. The record is from RNAcentral.
AACGCACAUUGCGCCCGUUAGCAUUCUGGCGGGCAUGCCUGUUCGAGCGUCCUUAAAACCCCUCGGGCCCGGUCGGCUUAGGCCCUCCGGCGCCCGGUGUUGGGAAUCCGCGGCUGCCGCGGUCCCCUAAAAGCAGUGGCGGACCUCCCUGUGGCCCUGGCGUAGUAACUAAAUCUCGUCUUCGGCUGCUGGGUGGGCCUUGCCCCUAGCACCAUCUCUUGAAUUUGGACCUCGAAUCAGGUAGGAAUACCCGCUGAACUUAA